CUGCAUGGCUGUCGUCAGCUCGUGUCGUGAGAUGUUGGGUUAAGUCCGUAACGAGCGCAACCCUGUCCUUAGUUACCAGCACGUUAUGGUGGGCGACUCUAAGGAGACUGCCGGUGACAAACCGGAGGAAGGUGGGGAGUGACGUCAAAUCAUCAUGGCCCUUACGGCCUGGGCUACACACGUGCUACAAUGGUCGGUACAAAGGGUUGCCAAGCCGCGAGGUGGAGCUAAUCCCAUAAAACCGAUCGUAGUCCGGAUCGCAGUCUGCAACUCGACUGCGUGAAGUCGGAAUCGCUAGUAAUCGUGAAUCAGAAUGUCACGGUGAAUACGUUCCCGGGCCUU
This 342-nucleotide ribosomal RNA is filed under the name uncultured Pseudomonas sp. RNAcentral's name for it is "bacterial SSU rRNA". It matches the Rfam family "Bacterial small subunit ribosomal RNA", at positions 1041 to 1382 of the family's 1533-position model. Lineage: Bacteria; Pseudomonadati; Pseudomonadota; Gammaproteobacteria; Pseudomonadales; Pseudomonadaceae. The record is from RNAcentral.